This is a microRNA precursor of Coturnix japonica (Japanese quail), 100 nucleotides long. Ensembl annotates it as microRNA let-7i. Its record names the gene MIRLET7I. The record is from Ensembl. NCBI's taxonomy places the organism in Eukaryota, Metazoa, Chordata, Aves, Galliformes, Phasianidae.
CCUGGCUGAGGUAGUAGUUUGUGCUGUUGGUCGGGUUGUGACAUUGCCCGCUGUGGAGAUAACUGCGCAAGCUACUGCCUUGCUAGUGCUGGUGAUGAUC